GGGAAGCUGGUUCAGUGGUAGAGUGCUUGCCUUGCAUGCAUGAGGCCCCUAGGUUCAAUUCCUCAGCACCUCA
RNAcentral lists this transfer RNA (73 nucleotides) under Dipodomys ordii (Ord's kangaroo rat). It matches the Rfam family "tRNA". From Rfam's summary of the family: Transfer RNA (tRNA) molecules are approximately 80 nucleotides in length. Lineage: Eukaryota; Metazoa; Chordata; Mammalia; Rodentia; Heteromyidae. The record is from Rfam by way of RNAcentral.